This 54-nucleotide microRNA precursor is filed under the name Oreochromis niloticus (Nile tilapia). RNAcentral describes it as "microRNA oni-mir-10951 precursor". Lineage: Eukaryota; Metazoa; Chordata; Actinopteri; Cichliformes; Cichlidae. The record is from miRBase by way of RNAcentral.
AGUGCUGCCUGACUUCAUGCCUUUCUCUUCUUUCAAUAAGUCAUGCAGCACAGA